This 168-nucleotide ribosomal RNA is filed under the name uncultured Anoxybacillus sp. Its description in RNAcentral is "partial 16S ribosomal RNA". It matches the Rfam family "Bacterial small subunit ribosomal RNA", at positions 1214 to 1382 of the family's 1533-position model. Lineage: Bacteria; Bacillati; Bacillota; Bacilli; Caryophanales; Anoxybacillaceae. The record is from RNAcentral.
CUACACACGUGCUACAAUGGCGGUACAAAGGGUUGCGAACCCGCGAGGGGGAGCCAAUCCCAAAAAGCCGCUCUCAGUUCGGAUUGCAGGCUGCAACUCGCCUGCAUGAAGCCGGAAUCGCUAGUAAUCGCGGAUCAGCAUGCCGCGGUGAAUACGUUCCCGGGCCUU